UGGGAAUUUUGGACAAUGGGCGAAAGCCUGAUCCAGCAAUGCCGCGUGUGUGAAGAAGGCCUUCGGGUUGUAAAGCACUUUUGUCCGGAAAGAAAUCCUUGGCUCUAAUACAGUCGGGGGAUGACGGUACCGGAAGAAUAAGCACCGGCUAACUACGUGCCAGCAGCCGCGGUAAUACGUAGGGUGCAAGCGUUAAUCGGAAUUACUGGGCGUAAAGCGUGCGCAGGCGGUUUGCUAAGACCGAUGUGAAAUCCCCGGGCUCAACCUGGGAACUGCAUUGGGUGACUGGCAGGCUAGAGUAUGGCAGAGGGGGGUAGAAUUCCACGUGUAGCAGUGAAAUGCGUAGAGAUGUGGAGGAAUACCGAUGGCGAAGGCAGCCCCCUGGGCCAAUACUGACGCUCAUGCACGAAGGCGUGGGGAGCAAACAGGAUUAGAUACCCUGGUAGUCCACGCCCUAAACGAUGUCAACUAGUUGUUGGGGAUUCAUUUCCUUAGUAACGUAGCUAACGCGUGAAGUUGACCGCCUGGGGAGUACGGUCGCAAGAUUAAAACUUAAAUGAAUUG
This 564-nucleotide ribosomal RNA is filed under the name uncultured bacterium. Its description in RNAcentral is "partial 16S ribosomal RNA". It matches the Rfam family "Bacterial small subunit ribosomal RNA", at positions 356 to 912 of the family's 1533-position model. The record is from RNAcentral.